UUAAUGUCCAGGAGAGUGGCCCUCCGCAUGGAGGGUUGACUAGAGAUUUAUCGGUAUGGGAUGAGCUUGCGUCCGAUUAGCUAGUUGGCGGGGCAACGGCCCACCAAGGCGACGAUCGGUAGCCAGCCUGAGAGGGUGAUCGGCCACAUUGGGACUGAGAUACGGCCCAGACUCCUACGGGAGGCAGCAGUAGGGAAUAUUGCACAAUGGGGGAAACCCUGAUGCAGCAACGCCACGUGUGGGAAGAAGCAUUUCGGUGUGUAAACCACUGUCAUGAGGGAAUAAGGCCCGCCUCCGGGCGGGAUUGAAUGUACCUUGAGAGGAAGCACCGGCAAACUUCGUGCCAGCAGCCGCGGUAAUACGAGGGGUGCAAGCGUUGUUCGGAAUUACUGGGCGUAAAGGGAGCGUAGGCGGAGAUUCAAGCGGAUUGUACAAUCCCGGGGCCCAACCCCGGCUCUGCAGUCCGAACUGGAUCUCUUGGAUAGUUCAGGGGCAGGCGGAAUUCCUGGUGUAGCGGUGGAAUGCGUAGAGAUCAGGAAGAACACCGAUGGCGAAGGCAGCCUGCUGGGGACUUAUCGACGCUGAGGCUCGAAAGUGCGGGUAGCAAACAGGAUUAGAUACCCUGGUAGUCCGCACCGUAAACAAUGUAUACUGGGUGUCCGGGGGUUCCCCCGGGUACCGUAGCCAACGCGUUNAGUAUGCCGCCUGGGGAGUGCGUACGCAAGUAUGAAACUCAAAGGAAUUGACGGGGGCCCGCACAAGCGGNGGAGCAUGUGGUU
Molecule: ribosomal RNA, 779 nt
Filed under: uncultured Fibrobacter sp.
Lineage: Bacteria; Pseudomonadati; Fibrobacterota; Fibrobacteria; Fibrobacterales; Fibrobacteraceae
Description: bacterial SSU rRNA
Rfam family: Bacterial small subunit ribosomal RNA
Source: RNAcentral